This 497-nucleotide ribosomal RNA is filed under the name uncultured bacterium. RNAcentral's name for it is "partial 16S ribosomal RNA". It matches the Rfam family "Bacterial small subunit ribosomal RNA", at positions 28 to 507 of the family's 1533-position model. The record is from RNAcentral.
GAUGAACGCUGGCGGCGUGCCUAAUACAUGCAAGUCGAGCGAACAGACGAGGAGCUUGCUCCUCUGACGUUAGCGGCGGACGGGUGAGUAACACGUGGAUAACCUACCUAUAAGACUGGGAUAACUUCGGGAAACCGGAGCUAAUACCGGAUAAUAUAUUGAACCGCAUGGUUCAAUAGUGAAAGACGGUUUUGCUGUCACUUAUAGAUGGAUCCGCGCCGCAUUAGCUAGUUGGUAAGGUAACGGCUUACCAAGGCAACGAUGCGUAGCCGACCUGAGAGGGUGAAUGGCCACACUGGAACUGAGACACGGUCCAGACUCCUACGGGAGGCAGCAGUAGGGAAUCUUCCGCAAUGGGCGAAAGCCUGACGGAGCAACGCCGCGUGAGUGAUGAAGGUCUUCGGAUCGUAAAACUCUGUUAUUAGGGAAGAACAAAUGUGUAAGUAACUAUGCACGUCUUGACGGUACCUAAUCAGAAAGCCACGGCUAACUCCGUG